CCUUCGAUAGCUCAGUUGGUAGAGCGGGGGACUGUAGAUCCCUAGGUCACUGGUUCAAAUCCGGUUCGAAGGA
RNAcentral lists this transfer RNA (73 nucleotides) under Dendronephthya gigantea. RNAcentral's name for it is "tRNA-Tyr". It matches the Rfam family "tRNA". From Rfam's summary of the family: Transfer RNA (tRNA) molecules are approximately 80 nucleotides in length. Their secondary structure includes four short double-helical elements and three loops (D, anti-codon, and T loops). Lineage: Eukaryota; Metazoa; Cnidaria; Anthozoa; Malacalcyonacea; Nephtheidae. The record is from RNAcentral.